RNAcentral lists this non-coding RNA (105 nucleotides) under bovine gut metagenome. Its description in RNAcentral is "FMN riboswitch (RFN element)". It matches the Rfam family "FMN riboswitch aptamer (RFN element)". Rfam says of the family: The RFN element is a highly conserved domain that is found frequently in the 5'-untranslated regions of prokaryotic mRNAs that encode for flavin mononucleotide (FMN) biosynthesis and transport proteins. This element is a metabolite-dependent riboswitch that directly binds FMN in the absence of proteins. In Bacillus subtilis, the riboswitch most likely controls gene expression by causing premature transcription termination within the 5' untranslated region of the ribDEAHT operon and precluding access to the ribosome-binding site of ypaA mRNA. The record is from RNAcentral.
GUUUCAGGGCGGGGUGUAAGUCCCCACCGGCGGUAUAGUCCGCGAGCGCGCUUGCGCUGACCGGGUGAAAUUCCCGGACCGACGGUAUAGUCCGGAUGAAAGAAA